AAUUUUGGACAAUGGGGGCAACCCUGAUCCAGCCAUCCCGCGUGUGCGAUGAAGGCCUUCGGGUUGUAAAGCACUUUUGGCAGGGAAGAAAAGGCUCUGGCUCAUACCCGGAGCUGCUGACUGUCCCUCCAGAAUAAGCACCGGCUCACUACGCGCCAGCAGCCGCGGUAAUACGUAGGGGGCAAGCGUUAAUCGGAAUUACUGGGCGCAAAGCGUGCGCAGGCGGUUCGGCAAGAAGGAUGUGAAAUCCCAGGGCUUAACCUUGGAACUGCAUUCUUAACUGCCGGGCUAGAGUAUGUCAGAGGGGGGUAGAAUUCCGCGUGUAGCAGUGAAAUGCGUAGAGAUGCGGAGGAAUACCGAUGGCGAAGGCAGCCCCCUGGGAUAAUACUGACGCUCACGCACGAGAGCGUGGGGAGCAAAC
This 421-nucleotide ribosomal RNA is filed under the name uncultured bacterium. RNAcentral's name for it is "partial 16S ribosomal RNA". It matches the Rfam family "Bacterial small subunit ribosomal RNA", at positions 360 to 773 of the family's 1533-position model. The record is from RNAcentral.